Molecule: ribosomal RNA, 240 nt
Filed under: uncultured Lactobacillus sp.
Lineage: Bacteria; Bacillati; Bacillota; Bacilli; Lactobacillales; Lactobacillaceae
Description: partial 16S ribosomal RNA
Rfam family: Bacterial small subunit ribosomal RNA
Source: RNAcentral
AACCUGCCCCAUAGUCUGGGAUACCACUUGGAAACAGGUGCUAAUACCGGAUAAGAAAGCGGAUCGCAUGAUCAGCUUUUAAAAGGCGGCGUAAGCUGUCGCUAUGGGAUGGCCCCGCGGUGCAUUAGCUAGUUGGUAAGGUAAAGGCUUACCAAGGCGAUGAUGCAUAGCCUAGUUGAGAGACUGAUCGGCCACAUUGGGACUGAGACACGGCCCAAACUCCUACGGGAGGCAGCAGUG